UAGGAUCCUACUAAGUUCUGCACUUAAUUU
This 30-nucleotide non-coding RNA is filed under the name Mus musculus (house mouse). The record is from RNAcentral. Lineage: Eukaryota; Metazoa; Chordata; Mammalia; Rodentia; Muridae.